Molecule: small nucleolar RNA, 76 nt
Filed under: Cavia porcellus (domestic guinea pig)
Lineage: Eukaryota; Metazoa; Chordata; Mammalia; Rodentia; Caviidae
Description: Small nucleolar RNA SNORD69 (ENSCPOG00000029416.2)
Source: RNAcentral
AACACAGAGCAAACUCAAUAAAAACUUAAUAAUGAUCCUUGUGCUGUUUGUUCAGUCCAACCCUGAGCUUCAUGCU